Ictidomys tridecemlineatus (thirteen-lined ground squirrel) is the source of this 3162-nucleotide non-coding RNA. The record is from RefSeq and is a predicted model, not a curated record. NCBI's taxonomy places the organism in Eukaryota, Metazoa, Chordata, Mammalia, Rodentia, Sciuridae.
AUUUAGGAGGCUGAGGCAGGAGGAUCACAAAUUUGAGGCCAGUCAUAGCAACUUAGCAAGAUACUUAUCUAAAAAAAAAAAAUGGGUCUGGGAUGUGGCUUAGUGGUACAAUCCUUUGAGUACAAUCCUCAGUUACCCCCCGCCCCCGAAAAAAGAGUUCAUUCAAUUUUUUACAUUAUGUUUGUCAAAAUACAUAAUAAGUGGUAGCACUAUGCCUUUUUAGCUAAUGGAAAAUUGUAGUCAAAGGAUAGUGAGAGCCUAUGUAUUUAAAGUACUUUGAUUUCUAAUAUGAAAGUGAUUAGUUUUUUAGAGUCACUUUGCCUAAAUUCAAAUCCUAGUUGCUGUUACUUUCCAACUAUGAUUUAAAUUUUUUUUUUUUUUGUAUUGGGGUUGAAUCCAGGGGCGCUCAACUACUGAGCCACAUCCCCAGCUCUUUUUUGUAUUUUAUUAUUUUCUUUAGAGGCAGGUUCUCAGUGAGUUGCUUAGGCCUCACUAAGUUGGUGAGGCUGGGUUUGAACUCAUGAUCUUCCUUGCCUCAGCUUUCCAAACUGUUGGGAUUACAGGCAUGUUCCACUGCGCCUGGCUCUGUUUGUGAUUUUGAACAAUAUUUAAACUUCUUUCAUCUUCAGUUUUCUUUGUUAAGUGAGAAUGCUACCUUGGAUUUCCCAGGAAACAGACACUGAGAUGUUAAGAGUGCAUACAGUUUGUUGUGGAGGAAUGGAAUGGUGCACAUAGCUCAGUGAUAGAGUGUGUACUUAGCAUGGUGGGAGUCCAUAAUUGUAAUAACCAGUACCAUCCCUUGGGAAAAAAAUGAAGGAAAGAAUAUUAUUAGAUUAAGCAGGAUUGACCAAGAGUUAUCAGAAUGAUGCAGACCUGAUGUCCUCUGCCAACUCCCUAAGGACAUCUGGAGCUACGACUUCAGAAAUGGCUUUGUCUUUGUACUAUAAGUUGGCCUUAUUUUGUCACUGACUAGCGACUAUCUGGAAAAGAAACUCAGCUUGACCCCAGAGGAGUCAAGGGAGUUGUCAGAUUUCUAAAUGUAGGAUCUGACAGCAAGUGUUUUCUUGAGAGAAGUCUGAAUAAAUCUGUCUGCCAUACUCAAUCAUGGGAUUAUAAUAAUUACAUUUAUUGUUACAUAUUAUUAUAUGAACACAGUACUGAACAUAGUUGGCACUCAGUGAUGUAAUCUGUUAUUCUUUGUUCUUUUCAAAAGACAUAACUUCUAAGGACACAGCAUUAUCUGUGUAGGAUCUUCCCAGUAAGGUUUAAUAUGAAUCUAAUCAUGAGGGAAAGCAAGAUAAAAAUUUUAAAGGCAUGUUGUACAAACAUAGCUGCUCUGGACUCUUCAAAAAUUUUGUGUUAUGAUAGACAUAAAAGAGGCUAGAUGGCCAGACAUGGUGGCACAUGCCUGUAAUGUCAGAAGCUCAGGAGGCUGAGAUAGGAGGAUUGCCAAGUUCAAAGCCAACCUUAGCAACUUAGUGAAGCCUUCAGCAACUUAGCCGAGACCCUGUCUCAAAGAAUAAAAAGAGCUGGUGAUGUGGCUCAGUGAUUAAGUGCCUCUGGGUUCAAUCAAUGGUACCAAAAAAAAAAAAAAAGAAAAAAAAUAGAUGAAGAUUAAGAGAAGGUGACAACGAAAUGCAAUAUCUGGUUCUUAAUUUGGUUCUGGAUGGGAGGGAGCAGAUUAUAAGGAACAAUAAUUGGAAGAGUUUGAGAAAUUCAAUUAUAUACGUUAUAUAUGCUGAAAUGGGAUAGAUUUUAGAUCUUAGAUAAAAUAAUACAAAUGUUAAAUUUUUUGUUUGGUGUUACUGAAGAUUGAAUUCAGGGGCAUAGGACUACUGAACUACCUCUUCUCCCAGCCUUUUAAAAAAUUUUUUAUUUUGAGACAGGGUCUUGCCAAAUUGCUCAGGCUGGUUUUGAACCUGUAAUCCUCCUGCCUCAGUCUCCCACAUUGUUGGGAUUACAGGCAAGUGCCACUCUGCCCUGCCUCAGUGUUAAGUUUCUUGAGUGUGAAAACUAGUAUGUAGAAGAAAGCCCUUGUUAGGAAAUAUAUGCUGAAAUACAGAAGUUUACAUGGUAAUUGUAUAAUAUUUAGGAAGGUGGGAAGAUAUUUAACAAUAUCUCCAUACUUUUACUUGGUAAUUUUAUAAUAUUUAGUUUUGCAUUCAGUUUAGUUCUCAAUGCUUAGUGAUAUUUUUAGUGAUCCUUUGUCAAUUUCCUAGGAUAGCAUACUACCAUUAUAGUACUCCAUAGUCUUACUCUUCUCCUGGCUUCAUUAAAUAACCUGACCUCUAUUUUGCUAAGACUGAAACAUUACUUCUUUGUCUUCCUUUCAUUGCCGCCUCUUAAUAUCUUUCCAGAUUAGAGAUAAAGAAGGGGCUUCUCCCUCCUCAGCUUUAUUAAGUGCUGGAAAUUGAACUCAGGGCUCUGUAUAUGCCAGUUUUGAAUCCAGUCUAUUGUUGCGGACCAUCCAUGGGCUGUGUGUAUGAGCUGUGCACAUUGAGCAGUAUGAGGGGACUGGCCUGACAUUGCUGCCUGAUUGGGCGGUGCAGCGUAUGUGUGCCUUUUCUGCCUGUGAUCCCACACAGCACCUGAGAUGGGUGUGGCUUUCCAAGAUGUCAAUCAACCUGUUGACCACAAGACAUCACCAAGCAAGACUCCACCCUUUGAAACCCAAUCCCUUGCCUUAUAUUCUAUGAAUGGCUUUUCCCCAAUACAUAGCGGGUUUCAGGUGUGUUCUCUCUCUUGCCUCCCUUGCUCCCCUUGCCUUCAGUGUGGGACCUGACACCUGAGGUCUCAGAGCUGUCUCUGACCCCCCAAAAAGGUAUUUUUGUGUUUGUGUGGUUUUUUAGUUGUCAGCCCAACAGCUGGUGACAGUCUAUACCCUUUAAUUCCACUUUAUGCCCUCUUUCCUUUUCAGAUCUGUCUGGUUUCUAUCUUUGUUUCCCUGCUUAAAUUACUUUCCCCAUAUAUAUGACUUAUUAGCACUCAUUACUAUUUUCAUAACAAACUUUAGGAUAUUAUUUAUAUUAGUUACAUCAGAAAGGCAAUUUCCUUAUGUCUUAGCUAUUUCUCUGACCCUCAGUGGUCAAUUUGAAUAUAUAUAUUACUAUUUUGAAUGAUGGCACUGGGAAGGGGAAUGAAUUCUCUAUGGAAAAAAAAAAA